Non-coding RNA from Cercocebus atys (sooty mangabey), 4593 nucleotides. NCBI's taxonomy places the organism in Eukaryota, Metazoa, Chordata, Mammalia, Primates, Cercopithecidae. The record is from the annotation of a RefSeq genome assembly.
UUUACAACAAUUGCUUUCUAAGAACUUAGGCAUUUGUGGAGACAAUGAUGUCACUGUAGGAACUUGCGUUAAGGACAGCGACGUCCCACUUCCUCUGCUCCUGCUCACAGACCCCGAUCUGGCAAAGCUCCCAUCCUACCCUGAUCCUGCCAUGGGCACCAGGCUCCUCUACUGGGCGGCCCUCUGUCUCCUGGGGGCAGAACUCACAGAAGCUGGAGUAACCCAGUCUCCGAGAUAUAAGAUCACAGAGAAAAAACAGCCUGUGGCUUUUUGGUGCAAUCCUAUUUCUGGCCACAAUACCCUUUACUGGUACCGGCAGAACUUGGGACAGGGCCCGGCGCUUCUGGUUCGGUUUGAGAAUGAGGGUGUAGUAGAUGAUUCACAGUUGCCUAAGGAUCGAUUUUCUGCGGAGAGGCUCAAAGGAGUAGACUCCACUCUCAAGAUCCAGCCUGCAGAGCUUGGGGACUCGGCCGUGUAUCUCUGUGCCAGCAGCUUAGCCACAGCGGUGCAGAGACACUUCCCUCCUGUGCACAAAACUGCAGGGCUCGCUCCUCUCUAUCAGCUCACAGCGGCCUUUCCUUAUUCCUCAUCCUCCCAGGGAAGAAGCGAGUUUUCAGAUAUAGCUAGGAUUCAUAUAGUGGGAGGAAAUGAACUCUUUCUUAAAACAUGAGCGCUAUCAUUGUUGUUUGAAAAUGUGUCUCAGGGAUUUGGAACACUUCUUGGGGACAACUGAAGAAACCUAAAGUGACUUAUCAGAGAUUGAGUCCUCAGGGGUAGUGAUAGUUUCUCUCCCAUAAAAGCAUGAUAUCAUGAAACAUGUACAAUAAACUUAAUAAUACAGAUAGUGAUUAUACCAAGCAGCAAACAGCAGGCUCCCCCUCUGUAGUUGUCAGCGUGUGAAUGACUUGUUAUCCUUGGUGACACCCUGGCUGUCUAGCAAAGUCUCAACACAUAGUAUGCGUUUGGAAAUCUUUUCCCUUCUGUUUUAUUUUUGUUACAGUAUGUUAAUAAUGAUGUUGUUAAUGAUAGUGAUUAUCAUUUCAGCUACGUUAUUCAGUCCUUUUUCUCGUUCAAAGAAAUGCACACAAAUGGAUACCCCAGCAACCAGUCCCAAAUCUUAGCUCCAGAUGAAUUCUGCUUCUCCUGAACUUUCUGACGCUUCUAUGUAAUCAUCCCAGCCCAAGAGUAUAUCUAGACCUGGACCAGUCAGUUCAGAGGACAUUUCCACUUGUCUGCCUCAUAUAUUAAAAGUUCCUUUGUGGAUUAAAAUAUUCCUUGUAAGAACUUCUGAAGCAAUCAAUUGCCCUCUCUGAUAAUACACUCUGUGUGUCUAGCUUCAUAUUCACUACUCUUCUUCUGCCUAAACUAAGAUAAUUCUAGAAAUCUUUCUGAAGUAUUGGUUAGAAUCACUAAAAAGCAGCAUACUGGAAAUUGUCUGAAAGCAUUGUCACUGUCCAUUAGCCCUUCCUGACUUCCCUCCCCUCCUUAUCCAAUCUAAUUCCUGAUGGCAAGUCAGGCUUUAUGUCCAUUUGCUCAGUGCACAUCUCCCUUUCCUUUAUUCCUCUAAUAAAACCUCACCAAUGUGAUGGAUUAAAAUGACCACUCACUCACCAUCUCCUUGUCAAAAUUUCUAUUUUUUUCUUUUUCCAAUCUGCUAUGUUAUUUAUAGUCAAUAACUUCCUCAUAUUUUCUGAGAUCACUUUUUAUUAUUUUAACAUAGGACACACGGUUGUUUCAGAGUCUGUCUGAUCAUUUUCACCUCUGAGAUCUUCACAGGAUAUUUUUGUGAUUUUCUUUUUGUGCAGCUUCUCAGUUAUGGUGCUUGAGUUUUCAUGGCGUUUGUAUUUCUCCUUACCAAUCUGAUGAUGUUUGACACUAUGCCAAAUGCUAUAGCUGUAGAAAUAAUUUUUGGUGUAGGAUGGACCAUAUUUUUCUGCAGCAAUCAUUUUUCUGUGCUUCUGAAAGUGCAUGUAGGUAUAAACGAUCAGACUCCCUGAAUCAGUUUAAGGCUUGAGGUGUCCUGGAGCAUCUGGAGAACAGGUUUGUCUCUGGCUUAUUGUUACUAUUGGAAUUUGGCAAUGACACAUUUGGUACGUUCUGGUCUUUGCCUUUACCCCCCUUGGCCUGUGAGUCAGCUUCCUGAGAGCUGAGUCAGGAUCUGCAAAUGCCCUCUAGGACAAAUGGACUGCUGUGCUCACCUCCCAGGGCUCUUGCCCUCACCAACAUUCCAGCCAAGUUAUUCCUUAUUUUUUUUUUAGGACUUUAAUUAAUUGAAAUUUUUAAUGUUGUUUUUGAUAUUUUUUCCAACUAUGUAGAUAACAACAGAAAGAGUGAGUGCCAUUAUCCUUAAUUAUUGGGAUUAAGGUGAAAAUAACUUUACUUGGAAUUCUAAUUUUCCUUGAAUUUUAAUGUUAGAUUCUUUGUGAUGUGCCUGAUAUUUAACUUAAAUGGUAUAGAGAUAUUAAACUCUGAUAUCAAAUACUUUUUUAAAAAAAACUUAAAGGCCAUUCAUAAUCCAAUUGAGACAUAUCUUUGUUUGGGGCAUGUUAUUACUAGGGUAUUCUUAUAUUGUUAUUUAUUUCUAUCACAUAACCUCUGUGUUCCAUUGGACCAUAUGGCAAGAUGAGAAACACAAUCAAGAGAAUGUUGAGAUUAGGUCAGAUAGUAUAGAUUGGGCUUCAAAUUAACUUAAUUACUGCACUCUGGGGGUGUAUUUUUGCUGUUUUAUGAGUAUUCCCCAGGGGCAGUGGUCAAAAUUGGAGGGAGUAACUGAUAUGUUACCAUUGUUUUACCCCGUUUAAAGCCAGUCUCCUGGGACAACAGUUUGUUCCAUAUACCCCAUUUUGUGGGGCACCCCAAAAAUAAUAAUCCUGUUUUGAUCUUCCCAUUCCUUGCCAAACCUUCUCUAUGGAAGGGAAAUCAGUUAUAGUAUUUGUUCUCUUCAUUUUAGUCUCUCCUUAUUUCCUGUUUUCCUCCUGGUUCCCUAGAGAAAAGGUAGAUUCUUUGGUGCGUUUUCAACGUGUGCUAAGAUCAGUGGCGAACUUUCUCUUCCAUGCAGGGCUAGCCUGCCGUUUGGAGGGGACAGAGAAUGGUUAAAUUCUGAUUCAGCAUCAUGUUAGCCCGCCCGUCAAGUUUCACAUUGAGACCUGCUGCUUACCAGUAUUAAACCUGGCAUUAUGUUUCCACCUUUCUGACCGCAUUGUCAAUGUCUCAGGUGUCUCUGUCCUACCCCAUAGCACUAAUAUUAUUCGCUGGCCUUCUAACACUAACUAAUCAUAAUAUUCUAUAUGCCCCGUACUCAGUGAAACAAAGCCCAAGUCCCUGUGUCUUGGCAAAAGACAGCACAUUUGUGCUGUUCCAGCCUGCUGGCCACUAGGAGGCACUGUGGCUUCGCUGUCAUCCAGGGUCUACAGGGAGGAGCAGAGAUUGCUCCCUGGAAAAAGAUGGUUAAGGGUUACUCUGAGGUUGGACCUAGAUUCAGGGAGUUGGUUUGCAGAGGUCUUGAAUGAUGGCUGGGAAUAAAGGAAUUAGUAACCGACCCUUCUUCCUCCAUUGUAGAGGUGGGUUUUGCUUUAAAUUGAGCUUUGAGUGGGGCUGAGUGACAGGUGUGCUUUGCAGUGCAUAUACCUCUGAGCUCGCUUAAGAUGUGGGGGCACAAGGAGCUGGGGCGGUGCAGGGCCCAUGUUCUGAGCUGAGAAAACCAGAGAAGGAGUUCUUGUGUCAAAGGAGCCUUGGAAAGCCUGGCCCCAAACCAGCCAAGGCCAACCCUACCUGCUCUGUAGAGAGUAGAAUAGCAAGAAAUGGAGGUGCUACCCAGGACCACAGCAGAGGGACCCUCUCCCCAGGGAGUUGACAAUCACAGUGAUGCCACCAUCAUAUCCACAUAUGAGGCAUAGUCCAGUGUGUAUCCUGGAAGAAGAUGAGGCCUAGGCAGACAUAAGAAGAUGUUUUUGAAUAGGCUUCCCUUGGGCUGAUUUUAAAUUCUUUCCAUAUGAUCAUGCAUCUGUCUCUACCUGUAUUUUCUAUCUGGCUUCUGCCUCUCACCCAUCAGUCCCAUGGCUACUAGAAGGUAUUCAAUUUGUAUUGACAGAAACUACCAAUAACUUUAUGGCUUAUAAUGACAAAAACUUAUUACCUUACAGUUCUGCAGGUCAGAAGUCCAAAACUGGGCUAAAAUCCAGGUAUUGGCAGGGCUACAUUCCUUCCCGAGGCUCUCGGGUAGAACUAUCUUUCUCUUCUAUUCAGCUUCUAGAGGCCACCAGCGUUCCUUGGCUCAUGGCCCCAUUCAAUCUUCAAAGCCAACAGGGACUCUGCAUCACUCUGAGGCUCACUCUUCAUUCUCUCUCUUCCACAUUUUAGGACCCUUGUGAUUACAUUGGGCCCACCUGGAAAAUCCAGGACAGGCUCCCUGUAUUAAGGCCAGCUGAUUAGCAAUCUUCAUUCCAUUUGGAACAUUCCUUUCUCCCCUUGUCACAUAAUUUGACACAUUCCCAGUUUCUGGGAAUUAGACGAGGACAUCUUUAAGAGGUCAUCACGCUGCCUGCCAUACUUGGUACCUGGUUACAGGAAGUAAUAAGCAAUUAACUUUUUGAA